This 492-nucleotide ribosomal RNA is filed under the name uncultured bacterium. RNAcentral's name for it is "partial 16S ribosomal RNA". It matches the Rfam family "Bacterial small subunit ribosomal RNA", at positions 29 to 507 of the family's 1533-position model. The record is from RNAcentral.
AGUGAACGCUGGCGGUAGGCCUAACACAUGCAAGUCGAACGGCAGCACAGUAAGAGCUUGCUCUUACGGGUGGCGAGUGGCGGACGGGUGAGGAAUACAUCGGAAUCUACUUUUUCGUGGGGGAUAACGUAGGGAAACUUACGCUAAUACCGCAUACGACCUACGGGUGAAAGCAGGGGAUCUUCGUACCUUGCGCGAUUGAAUGAGCCGAUGUCGGAUUAGCUAGUUGGCGGGGUAAAGGCCCACCAAGGCGACGAUCCGUAGCUGGUCUGAGAGGAUGAUCAGCCAAACUGGAACUGAGACACGGUCCAGACUCCUACGGGAGGCAGCAGUGGGGAAUAUUGGACAAUGGGCGCAAGCCUGAUCCAGCCAUACCGCGUGGGUGAAGAAGGCCUUCGGGUUGUAAAGCCCUUUUGUUGGGAAAGAAAAGCAGCAGGUUAAUACCCCGCUGUUCUGACGGUACCCAAAGAAUAAGCACCGGCUAACUUCGUG